Molecule: transfer RNA, 92 nt
Filed under: Oscillospiraceae bacterium
Lineage: Bacteria; Bacillati; Bacillota; Clostridia; Eubacteriales; Oscillospiraceae
Also listed under: 4 other names
Description: tRNA-Ser
Rfam family: tRNA
About the family: Transfer RNA (tRNA) molecules are approximately 80 nucleotides in length. Their secondary structure includes four short double-helical elements and three loops (D, anti-codon, and T loops).
Source: RNAcentral
GCGGAAGUACCCAAGAGGCCGAAGGGGCUCCCCUGCUAAGGGAGUAGCUGGUCUGAAGCCAGGCGAGGGUUCAAAUCCCUCCUUCCGCGCCA